RNAcentral lists this unclassified non-coding RNA (433 nucleotides) under soil metagenome. RNAcentral's name for it is "partial contains 5.8S ribosomal RNA, internal transcribed spacer 2, and large subunit ribosomal RNA". The stretch from base 1 to 120 matches the Rfam family "5.8S ribosomal RNA", at positions 35 to 154 of the family's 154-position model. The record is from RNAcentral.
GAUGAAGAACGCAGCGAAAUGCGAUACGUAAUGUGAAUUGCAGAAUUCAGUGAAUCAUCGAAUCUUUGAACGCAUAUUGCGCUCUCUGGUAUUCCGGAGAGCAUGCUUGUUUGAGUAUCAGUAAACACCUCAACUUCCAUAUCUUUUUUUGAAAUGGGAGUUGGACUUGAGUGAUCCCAACGCUUUUCCUCACCAAAAAGUGGCGGGUUACUUGAAAUGCAGGUGCAGCUGGACUUUUCUCUGAGCUAUAAGCAUAUCUAUUUAGUCUGCCUAAAAAACAGAUUAUUACCUUUGCUGCAGCUAACAUAAAGGAGAUUAGUUCUUGUGCUGACUGAUGCAGGAUUCACAAAGACAGCUUCGGCCGACUUUGUAAACUCGAUCUCAAAUCAAGUAAGACUACCCGCUGAACUUAAGCAUAUCAAUAAGCGGAGGA